AAACCCGCCAUUUGCAACAACAUGGCUAGACAUAGAGGGUAUUAUAUGCUAAGUGAAAUCAGUCAGAGAAAGACGGACACCAUGUGAUUUCACAUAUAUGCCGAAUCUAAAACAAAACCGAAAGAACAAACUCAAGAAGAGAAACAGACUCAUAAAUACAGAGAACCAACAAACUGCCCAAAACAGGGAGAAAGUAAGAAAAGGAGGUACAAACCAUGAAACUUUUUCAAGCACUGGAUACCUCUUCUGUUUUCAGCAACUUGUGAAAAGCAGGCCAAAACUUAAAAAACGGAAAUGCCCAUCAACGUUAACAGCGCACACAGGAAGUUACAUUUUCUGUGCUUAAAAUCGUCACGGAGUCAAGCAUCCUUCUUAUCCCGGAAAGGGCUGAAGCUGUAUCUGGAAUAUGGGCAGCUCGGUGAUCUCCCAGAUAACGUGAUAGAAAGCUGCCUUCCAGCCGGCUGAAUUAGCAAGUUUAAGUCCAAGAUUUUUGUUGGCUUUGAAACGAAGACCCAGAAGAGCAGAAACUCCCAUCUGUUUUGUUCCCUGAUGAAUCCCGAGUGCCUGAGCGGGGCCUGAUGUGCAGGAAGCAUCCAUAAACAUUUGUUGAGUGAGUUAAAUGUCAGCAUACAAAUAACCAGAGAACAUAUGAACAUGUUGGUUCAGAGCUGUAGGCGAUGGAGAGCAAAAAGCAAUAACUUGAACUUGGACAACUGCACAGUGGGGGCUAUAUUUCCAAAGCUGUUCUAAUGACAUUUGCCUUCCUUCCGCCAUGUUUCUGUGCUAAAAAUCCUGUGCCAAGGGGCACCUGGGGGCUUAGUCAGUUGAGCAUCCGACUCUUGAUUUCGGCUCAGAUCACAACCUCGGGGUUGUGACAUCGAGCCCCGAACCAGACCCCACUCUCUGCUUGGAGUCCACUUGUCCCCCUCCCUAUUCCCACUUGCGUGUGCGCUCUCAAAUAAAUAUACAAUGCUUCUCUUCACAGAGAACCAGCCUCCAGCUCCAGGUUAGUCCUCAUGCAUCGUGAUAUUAAAUCAGACUUGGCCGUGAAAAGGAAGUGUUCUAACUGCAUUCUGUCUGGUCUUCGGUUAAUUUCUAACUCUCUCUAAUUUGGGGACCUGCCUUUUAUGGUUUCAAGUUGUCCUCCUGGUUUUUAUCUGCACUGCUUUCUCAGUUAGGGUAAUAGGGAUAUUGCUCUCCAAGUGUCCAAAAUCUAUUAGGACAAUCCUAUAGGGGAAUGGGGGAGGGGAGCAUUUGGGUGACUUCCAUACUUUUGAAUCCUCUUUCUCAAAACUGGGGGAACUGUCAUUGCCUGAGCCCAUCUUCAGGCACGCUAACACUCGGGACUUUGGACUUGUGUUUAAUAUUUCCUCAUUCACCCAUUCAUUCCAGCCAUCACCUGACUACUACAGGGCGCCCUGCUUGCCUCUAGGCAUCCAGAGAUAAGAAACCUAGACUUUUUUCUUCAAUGGCACCGCAGGCCCUUUACAGCAGAAUCCGGCUGAUUCUUAUCUAUAACCUUCGCAGUACCUGGGAGGUAACCGAG
This is a long non-coding RNA of Mustela erminea (ermine), 1546 nucleotides long. RefSeq lists it as uncharacterized. NCBI's taxonomy places the organism in Eukaryota, Metazoa, Chordata, Mammalia, Carnivora, Mustelidae. The transcript is spliced from 4 exons. The record is from RefSeq and is a predicted model, not a curated record.